Non-coding RNA from Callithrix jacchus (white-tufted-ear marmoset), 1095 nucleotides. NCBI's taxonomy places the organism in Eukaryota, Metazoa, Chordata, Mammalia, Primates, Cebidae. The record is from the annotation of a RefSeq genome assembly.
UGGGACCUGGGCGGUCCGGGGCGCGGGGGCCGCCGGGAAGGGGGAUCUGGGCCGUUGCUCCGUCCUCCCUUAGGCCAUGCAGCCCUGAAACUCCGGAUCCUGGGGUGACUCCUGUCCCAAUUGGAAGAGACCCACUCAGUCCUGACAAGGGACAAAGGCCUAAGGGCCAGAAAGGCGAGCAGAAUCCUGGAGGACGACGGGACCACGGGACAUGAACUCAUCGCUUCCCCGUCUUUUAAAAGAAAAUAUUUGCUGCGUCUGUCCCAUCUGGAUGUAAGGAGGUUCCAAGGGUCCUGCUCACGUUGGAAAUACUUUCUGAGAGUCAUGGACAUCACGUGCAAGAGCAUGAAACACCUGUGGUUCUUCCUUCUCCUGGUGGCAGCUCCCAGACGGGUCCUGUCCCAGGUGCAGCUGCAGGAGUCGGGCCCAGGACUGGUGAAGCCUUCGGAGACCCUGUCCCUCACCUGCGCUGUCUCUGGUUACUCCAUCAGCAGUGGUUACUGGUGGAGCUGGAUCCGCCAGCCUCCAGGGAAGGGGCUGGAGUGGAUUGGGUACAUCUAUCAUAGUGGGAGCACCUACUACAACCCGUCCCUCAAGAGUCGAGCCACCAUAUCAGCAGACACGUCCAAGAACCAGUUCUCCCUGAGGCUGAGCUCUGUGACCGCCGCGGACACGGCCGUGUAUUACUGUGCGAGACACAGUGAGGGGAGGGACAUGGAUGAAUCUAGAAAUCAUAAUUCUCAGCAAACUGACACAAGAACAGAAAAUCAAACACCACAUGUUGUCACUCAUAGGUGUCCAGUGUGAGGUGCAGCUGGUGGAGUCUGGGGGAGGCUUGGUUCAGCCCGGGGGGUCCCUGAGACUCUCCUGUGCGGCCUCUGGAUUCACCUUCAGCAGCUAUGCCAUGCACUGGGUCCGCCAGGCUCCGGGGAAGGGGCUGGAGUGGGUCUCAGUUAUCAGUACUGAUGGUAGAACCACAUACUACGCAGACUCCGUGAAGGGCCUAUUCACCAUCUCCAGAGACAACGCCAAGAACUCGCUGUAUCUGCAGAUGAACAGCCUGAAAACCGAGGACACGGCCGUGUAUUACUGUGC